RNAcentral lists this ribosomal RNA (1821 nucleotides) under Escherichia coli. Its description in RNAcentral is "partial 23S ribosomal RNA". It matches the Rfam family "Bacterial large subunit ribosomal RNA", at positions 1002 to 2806 of the family's 2925-position model. Lineage: Bacteria; Pseudomonadati; Pseudomonadota; Gammaproteobacteria; Enterobacterales; Enterobacteriaceae. RNAcentral also lists the same sequence under 1 other name. The record is from RNAcentral.
CGUCCGUCGUGAAGAGGGAAACAACCCAGACCGCCAGCUAAGGUCCCAAAGUCAUGGUUAAGUGGGAAACGAUGUGGGAAGGCCCAGACAGCCAGGAUGUUGGCUUAGAAGCAGCCAUCAUUUAAAGAAAGCGUAAUAGCUCACUGGUCGAGUCGGCCUGCGCGGAAGAUGUAACGGGGCUAAACCAUGCACCGAAGCUGCGGCAGCGACACUAUGUGUUGUUGGGUAGGGGAGCGUUCUGUAAGCCUGUGAAGGUGGCCUGUGAGGGUUGCUGGAGGUAUCAGAAGUGCGAAUGCUGACAUAAGUAACGAUAAAGCGGGUGAAAAGCCCGCUCGCCGGAAGACCAAGGGUUCCUGUCCAACGUUAAUCGGGGCAGGGUGAGUCGACCCCUAAGGCGAGGCCGAAAGGCGUAGUCGAUGGGAAACAGGUUAAUAUUCCUGUACUUGGUGUUACUGCGAAGGGGGGACGGAGAAGGCUAUGUUGGCCGGGCGACGGUUGUCCCGGUUUAAGCGUGUAGGCUGGUUUUCCAGGCAAAUCCGGAAAACCAAGGCUGAGGCGUGAUGACGAGGCACUACGGUGCUGAAGCGACAAAUGCCCUGCUUCCAGGAAAAGCCUCUAAGCAUCAGGUAACAUCAAAUCGUACCCCAAACCGACACAGGUGGUCAGGUAGAGAAUACCAAGGCGCUUGAGAGAACUCGGGUGAAGGAACUAGGCAAAAUGGUGCCGUAACUUCGGGAGAAGGCACGCUGAUAUGUAGGUGAAGCGACUUGCUCGUGGAGCUGAAAUCAGUCGAAGAUACCAGCUGGCUGCAACUGUUUAUUAAAAACACAGCACUGUGCAAACACGAAAGUGGACGUAUACGGUGUGACGCCUGCCCGGUGCCGGAAGGUUAAUUGAUGGGGUUAGCGGCAACGCGAAGCUCUUGAUCGAAGCCCCGGUAAACGGCGGCCGUAACUAUAACGGUCCUAAGGUAGCGAAAUUCCUUGUCGGGUAAGUUCCGACCUGCACGAAUGGCGUAAUGAUGGCCAGGCUGUCUCCACCCGAGACUCAGUGAAAUUGAACUCGCUGUGAAGAUGCAGUGUACCCGCGGCAAGACGGAAAGACCCCGUGAACCUUUACUAUAGCUUGACACUGAACAUUGAGCCUUGAUGUGUAGGAUAGGUGGGAGGCUUUGAAGUGUGGACGCCAGUCUGCAUGGAGCCGACCUUGAAAUACCACCCUUUAAUGUUUGAUGUUCUAACGUUGGCCCGUAAUCCGGGUUGCGGACAGUGUCUGGUGGGUAGUUUGACUGGGGCGGUCUCCUCCUAAAGAGUAACGGAGGAGCACGAAGGUUGGCUAAUCCUGGUCGGACAUCAGGAGGUUAGUGCAAUGGCAUAAGCCAGCUUGACUGCGAGCGUGACGGCGCGAGCAGGUGCGAAAGCAGGUCAUAGUGAUCCGGUGGUUCUGAAUGGAAGGGCCAUCGCUCAACGGAUAAAAGGUACUCCGGGGAUAACAGGCUGAUACCGCCCAAGAGUUCAUAUCGACGGCGGUGUUUGGCACCUCGAUGUCGGCUCAUCACAUCCUGGGGCUGAAGUAGGUCCCAAGGGUAUGGCUGUUCGCCAUUUAAAGUGGUACGCGAGCUGGGUUUAGAACGUCGUGAGACAGUUCGGUCCCUAUCUGCCGUGGGCGCUGGAGAACUGAGGGGGGCUGCUCCUAGUACGAGAGGACCGGAGUGGACGCAUCACUGGUGUUCGGGUUGUCAUGCCAAUGGCACUGCCCGGUAGCUAAAUGCGGAAGAGAUAAGUGCUGAAAGCAUCUAAGCACGAAACUUGCCCCGAGAUG